GGAGUCUGGGCCGUAUCUCAGUCCCAAUGUGGCCGAUCACCCUCUCAGCCCGGCUACCGAUCGUCGCCUUGGUGGGCCGUUGCCCCGCCAACUAGCUAAUCGGACGCAAGCUCAUCCCAUACCGAUAAAUCUCUAGUCAGCCCUCCAUGCGGAGGGCCACUCUCCUGGACAUUAACCGCGCGUUGGCACGGGUAUUUCCUGAUAUGGGGCAGAUUGCUUACGCGUUACUCACCCGUUCGCCGCUCGGCAUUGCUGCCUCGCUCGACUUGCAUGUAUUAAGCCUGCAGCUAGCGUUCAUC
RNAcentral lists this ribosomal RNA (299 nucleotides) under Fibrobacter succinogenes. Its description in RNAcentral is "partial 16S ribosomal RNA". The record is from RNAcentral. Lineage: Bacteria; Pseudomonadati; Fibrobacterota; Fibrobacteria; Fibrobacterales; Fibrobacteraceae.